GCUCAUGACUCGCUUCGCGGCUCUACCGCCUCGUGUACUUAUUGUCGAUGCAGCAGAAAUCGCACUCGAUUCAUUGUCCGAAUCGCUGCGCACGCAUUUCUUCGACGAGGCUCUGAGCGGAUGCCAAACGUUCAUUAUUGACCGUGACGAAUCCCCGAAGCUGUUGGCGUACAACAAUAGCAUCCAAGUCGGAGAAAGUCCUGAGAGAAGUUCGAUCGUAUCUGAGUUACCCUCCCUCGAUCUUUCAAUCGAUCGUAUCUGAGUCACCCUCCCUCGAUCUUUCAAUCGAUCGUCGUUCAAGCGUCGCCCUGAGCACGAGGUUGAUGGUCGAUGCGACUUCUGUCUCUUCCAUCGAUGCCGGACCCUUCUCUAUCUCAAUGGCUGAUG
Molecule: long non-coding RNA, 387 nt
Organism: Galendromus occidentalis (western predatory mite)
Lineage: Eukaryota; Metazoa; Arthropoda; Arachnida; Mesostigmata; Phytoseiidae
Exons: 3
Source: RefSeq, a predicted model, not a curated record